UCUUGGUGAAUCAUAAUAACUUAACGAAUCGCAUGGCCUUGCGCCGGCGAUGGUUCAUUCAAAUUUCUGCCCUAUCAACUUUCGAUGGUAGGAUAGUGGCCUACCAUGGUGGCAAAGGGUAACGGGGAAUUAGGGUUCGAUUCCGGAGAGGGAGCCUGAGAAACGGCUACCACAUCCAAGGAAGGCAGCAGGCGCGCAAAUUACCCAAUCCCGAUACGGGGAGGUAGUGACAAUAAAUACUGAUACGGGGCUCUUUUGGGUCUCGUAAUUGGAAUGAGAACAAUUUAAAUCCCUUAACGAGGAACAAUUGGAGGGCAAGUCUGGUGCCAGCAGCCGCGGUAAUUCCAGCUCCAAUAGCGUAUAUUAAAGUUGUUGCAGUUAAAAAGCUCGUAGUUGAACCUUGGGUCUGGCUGGCCGGUCCGCCUCACCGCGAGUACUGGUCCGGCUGGACCUUUCCUUCUGGGGAACCUCAUGGCCUUCACUGGCUGUGGGGGGAACCAGGACUUUU
Molecule: ribosomal RNA, 508 nt
Filed under: Penicillium sp. EC23
Lineage: Eukaryota; Fungi; Ascomycota; Eurotiomycetes; Eurotiales; Aspergillaceae
Description: SSU rRNA
Rfam family: Eukaryotic small subunit ribosomal RNA
Source: RNAcentral